UUAUAAGUAAAAAAUUAUGAAGAAAAAAGGAACUUCAGCCAACUACUCUUUUAGUAUUGAAAUGUGGACUGAAUAAAAUCCUAAUUUCUGGCAUCUUUUCUUCUUGUUGUCGUACUGUUGACUCAAAUUUGUUGGUGAUUUUUGUCACAGUUGAUGUUCUUAGUGUGUGUAUGUGUGUGUGAUGUGCUGGUAUUUCUGGGUUGAUUUGUGGUUUGUCUUGGUAAAAAUGAU
This 231-nucleotide long non-coding RNA is filed under the name Capsicum annuum. RNAcentral describes it as "long non-coding RNA (CANN_LNC004281)". Lineage: Eukaryota; Viridiplantae; Streptophyta; Magnoliopsida; Solanales; Solanaceae. The record is from RNAcentral.